UCCUCGCCAAAUGAUUGUUCAAUAACUUCACCUUGAACAGUGACACGAAGUGACCCGUGAAUGGUGUCCGGUGGCUGAGAUAAUAUAGCAAGAUGGGUUGGGCCCCCUCCUCUUCCAACAGUCCCACCUCGGCCGUGAAACAUUGUAAGUUUUACACCGAACUGUUUUGCAACCUUUACAAGCUCCUCCUGGGCCUUAUAUAACUGCCAUGCUGCAGAAAGCCGUCCAGCAUCCUUUCCUGAAUCAGAAUACCCAAUCAUGACUUCUUGUUUCCCAUUGAUUCUGUUACGAUACCAAUCUAUUGAGAAAAGCCUAGCCACAGCAGCAGGUGCAGCCUCAAGAUCAGCAAGCUUUUCAAACAAUGGGACAACCCUCAGAGGAUUUUGGACAUGGCACUCACGUUGCAAAAGCUCUACUGCAAGGACAUCAGACGGGGCAGUUGCCAUUGAAAUUAUGUAGGCCCCAAAGUUAUCGGAGGGUAGUUCAGCAAUGACAUUAAAAGUGUCUAACACAUCGGCAAUUUCUUCAGUUUUGGGAAGAUCGGGCCCAAAAAGAGGUCGCUUGCCACUGAGUUCAGAUAAAAGCCACUCCUGUCUGCGUUCUUCUGACCAUUCUUUGUACGACCCGAUCUCCAGGUGCCUUGUAAUAGCAUCUAGAACAUCAGUGUGCCUAUCUUACUCUUGCCUUACAUUAAGUCUCACGAGUGCAAGCCCACACGUUGAAACUUGCCGUAAGAAAUCAAGAAGGCUUCCAUCGGCAAUGGGCCGAUCACCGCAAGCGCAAAGUGAUCUAUAACACAGCUCAAGAGGCUCAAGAAACUGAAGACAAGAAAGUGAAUCAUCAGUAUGUGUAUUACAUAAACAUUGCACAAGACAAAUGCGUAACUUACACUAGAAAUUCAAUUCUAUUUUCUUCAACUUUAAUUUUUUAUCUUUUUUUGGGUGUUCGUGGAUGACAAUCAUAAAACAGGGACAUGAAGGGGUUUAUUUUGCAUUUCCAUAUAUAUAUAUAUAUAUAUAUUGAACAAACUUAACAGAUACAAGCGCUUAAGAAAUUCUAGCAUUCUAAUGACUGCAGCUAUUUAGGUGAACGUUAGCCCAAUCCAUAUUUAGUUUUAACUUCUCAUGGCAAAGAAAAGUUAACCUAAACGAUAUGCACGCUCAAUCAGUAAGCUAAAUGCAUAUAGAAAUGUUUGUUUUGAAGGUAUACUUCAAAGUAUAUUCAUACAUCAAUCCAUCAUUAAAUUCUCCAGAAGUCAAUUUCUCUUCUAUAAUUGGUUUCUUGUUACUCUUUAUGGUCAAUAUGGCACCUUAUUCUUCACCACAUUCAUCAGCAAUAGUUUCCUACUGCAGUGUAUGAUUACUCUCUUCUAUCAGAACCUUUCGCUCUCAAAAAGCAUAAAUUCCAUUCAAUCUAUUCAAAUUCUCCAUUUGUUAGUAAUUCAAAACAAACCAACCAAAAAGCAAGGUGGAUUAAACCAAUUAAUUAAAUACCACAAAUCAUCACUUAAAAUAACCUAUUCAUUGGACAAGGUGAAAAGACAUAUGUUUAUUUUUAUUUUGGUUAUAUAUUAAAAUCUUAAUAGUUAUAAUACGAAGAGAAGCUAAGAAAUGAAGCCCCUGUUGUAGAAUGAGUUGGCUGAGAGUGAUAAUAUACUAAUCCAUUGAGAUAGUUGAUCAAGCCCACAAGCAAUUGCGCAUAGAAAAGCAAUUGCAUAUCUCCAAUGACAGCAAUAAUGCAUCUAACACGUUAUAAACUCGUGUCAAGCUGUUCAUAACUUGCAAGCUGAAAAUUUAAACAACACCACUGACACCACCAACCAUCAACCACUACCACCACCCUGAACCACUCACCAUUGUCAAAAUCAACACCACCCACCACCAUCAACCACUGCCACCACAAAUAGACCAUUACAACCACCAUCAACACCCAUCGCCUCCCAAAUCCAAAAAACAAAAAAAAAACAAAAAAAGAAAACUCAAAAGAGAGGGAAAUUCUGGACAAAUUUGUAGUGUCGAUCACCCAUCGCAAUGAACUGCAGCUUCUUUCUCUUUGAUCGGUUCGCGAUGCUGCUAUCGCGAUGAAUGGGUCGUGACACUACGUUCAUAGCAGCAUCGCAUCCCCACGUUGGUGCCGACACCAGUACAUCUCCUUCGUCAUUAGCUGAAGUGUGUGACCAUCCAUAGUCAGGGUCAAUCACCCACAGUUAACGUCCAGGAGAGAGAGAGAGAGAAGGCAGAGAAAGGAUUUGAAGAAAGUGGAUGAAGAUUUGGUUUUGUAUUUCAAAAGGCGUUUCCCCUAUUUUGUAAUUUUUUGGAGUUUUGUAUAGAAAACAGCUAAAACGACAUUUUGAUCGUUUUUCGUUUUCUUCACAAUUUUUUUGUAUUUUCAAAAACAUGUUUUCGAAAAUGGGUAAGAGAACAAGUUUUCACUGUUUUGAAAAAUCGAAAACAAAAAACGGGCCGAAAAUGAGAAAGAGAACACACCCUAAGCUAUUUGCAAUGAGUUUGGACUUGGCUACAUUAAUCCUUCAAACUUGAGGUUGUACAUGUUUUUGGCUUUAUUAAGUUUAUGGUAUGAAGUUGAGUCAUAUCAUUGCAAUAUUCUAUUUUAGGAAGAGCGAAGAUGACCUACUAGGCUCCAUAUGGUUUGCUCAUCAGAAGUUUUUACUCGUGGAGGAGCAAUUGAGCAGCCAAGGUUAUUGGUUCAUGUUGUCUUCGUCAUGUUGUAUAACAGGUGGAACGGGUAAGAACUUGAGAAAGAGCAUAAGUUUGCCAAAUCUCCUUGUCAUGUUCAAUAUCAAUUCUUGGAUUAUAGGUAGGUAUCUCAUCAAACUGAUCUGUACACAGGAUUCUGGUUCCGGAUUAUGGAUUCAUGCACCUCGAGUUGAUAUCAAUGCUCGCGGGAUUCUUGACAUACAAGAUUGCCACUUUUUUCCAGGCUAUUGAAGAGGCAAUAAUUGUAGCUAGUGGAAAAACACAAGUUUAAUUUGGCUUAUUGUACAUACUUCAUUCUUGUUACUGAUGAUGGGAAAAGUCACAUAUGCAUAUGUAUACAAGAUUUAUGCAAGAAAAAGAAGACACGUAUAUUCAUUCAUAUGUACUUGGUGUGAGUACAUGCUUAUAGAGCAAUAUUAUCACAUAUUUUCCAACAGAGUGCCAUAAUACGUAACUCGUUAUUUCUUUAUAAUUUAACCGACACCAUAUAUCUAGCAAAGGCAAGAUGACCCGACCUUAACCGGUGUUCUGCAUUCCAGCUGCAAUACCCUUCAUGGUCAAGAUAAGUGUGUCUUCCAACCCGGGAGCAUACUCACUUUUAGGGUUGAGCUUCACCAGUUCAGCAGCCGGUUUGCUCAUAUCCAUUUCCAUUACAUCUUUCGAGAGAUGUGGCUUCACCUUAACGCGGUAGCUUGGAUCACGUAUCUGCUUCAAUGUGUAGACUUGGCACACGUUAAGGACGGUGAUGUACGGAUCGCGAAGUCGAAGUCUCUGCCUUAAGUAGGGGUCGCCUUCUAGAAGUUCCUUGUGUCCAGCAACCUAGGCAGAGAGAGACCAUAUCAGCUUCCUUCCAUUAAAUGGAAGUUGAACUAAUCAUGAAAAAAGUAGCAAUUGCAGUUACUUUAUUUCUAAAAAUAAAUAAAAGAAAAAAAAAAUUCCAUAUGUAUUCUCAGCUCGAAGUUUUUCCCCCUUCUGCUUCUUGGGAGUUAUGACAGAAAAAUUCAUGUUCUAGUGAAGAAAGGUUUUUAAAUAGAAGACAACCCUUACAAGGCGGAAGUUGCACUAAACACUAAUCAUGAAAAAAGUAGCAAUUGAAGUUUACUUAAUCACUGUCCAAACUGAAAAGAAUGAAUGUAAAAUAAUAAUAAUAAUAAUAAUAAUUUCCACCAUGUAUUCUCAGCUCGAAGUUUUCUCCCCUUCUAUUUCUUGGAAGAACAGAAAAAAUCGUGUCCUAGUUAUGCAAAAGGUUAUUAAAUAGAAGACGGCCCUUACCUGAAGGAUCAGAUUCUUAGUUUCUUCAUAAUUGUUCCCCAGUUGCUUCCCAAAUGGCCACAAGUCUUCUGACACUAAAAGUUUGUCAUAUAAAGCAGCAAUUUCUGGGUCUCCUUUGGACAAAACCAUUUCAAUCAAGUCAAUGGUUACUCGGAAGAAAGGCCAUUCUUUGUACAUAUCAUUGAGAGUCUGAAGAUUUCUAAUAUCCUUCCCAAUGGCGUGUUUGAUUGCAGCUCCAAAGCCAAGCCAGACAGGAAGAUGAAAUCUCGUCUGCGUCCAUGCAAAUAUCCACGGGAUUGCUCGGAGUGAUUCAAUUCCACCGCUAACCUUUCGUUUUGAUGGGCGGCUCCCUAUGUUCAUCCGACCAUACUCCAACUCAGGUGUUGCCUGCAAUACUCAGAGAGAGAGAAACAAGAAAAUAUUACAAUACCCCAAUUCACAAUUUAGGGGUAAGCCAAUUAUCAGUCUUCUCAAUUCAAACUGGCAACUUUGAUGCCAACUUAUAUUGCCACUUCUAGGAGUUACCAGUCAACAUGUGUAAACCUAUUAAGUUUAAUGUGCUUAUAUGUGAUUUUUUUGCAGAUUCUAACAAAAAAUAACCAAAGUGGAAAAAUACUUACAAGCCGGAAGUACUCAACAAAACGAGGUUCCUGGAAAACUACAGAACGAUACUCUUUUGUGGCAAACACAGCCAUCUCAUCCAUGAGAGCACGCCAUUCUGGCUUCGGUACAACAGGGGGGCGCAUUCCAUGCUCAAGUGUAGCUGCAGUAAAACGUUGGAGCGUUCUGAAACAUAAGUGCUCCUCGCCAAAUGAUUGUUCAAUAACUUCACCUUGAACAGUGACACGAAGUGACCCGUGAAUGGUGUCCGGUGGCUGAGAUAAUAUAGCAAGAUGGGUUGGGCCCCCUCCUCUUCCAACAGUCCCACCUCGGCCGUGAAACAUUGUAAGUUUUACACCGAACUGUUUUGCAACCUUUACAAGCUCCUCCUGGGCCUUAUAUAACUGCCAUGCUGCAGAAAGCCGUCCAGCAUCCUUUCCUGAAUCAGAAUACCCAAUCAUGACUUCUUGUUUCCCAUUGAUUCUGUUACGAUACCAAUCUAUUGAGAAAAGCCUAGCCACAGCAGCAGGUGCAGCCUCAAGAUCAGCAAGCUUUUCAAACAAUGGGACAACCCUCAGAGGAUUUUGGACAUGGCACUCACGUUGCAAAAGCUCUACUGCAAGGACAUCAGACGGGGCAGUUGCCAUUGAAAUUAUGUAGGCCCCAAAGUUAUCGGAG
Molecule: long non-coding RNA, 5267 nt
Filed under: Olea europaea (common olive)
Lineage: Eukaryota; Viridiplantae; Streptophyta; Magnoliopsida; Lamiales; Oleaceae
Description: long non-coding RNA (OEUR_LNC008341)
Source: RNAcentral